CCUACGGGAGGCAGCAGUGGGGAAUAUUGGACAAUGGGGGAAACCCUGAUGCAGCGACGCCGCGUGAGCGAUGAAGGAUUUCGGUAUGUAAAGCUCUAUCAGCAGGGAAGAAAAUGACGGUACCUGACUAAGAAGCACCGGCUAACUACGUGCCAGCAGCCGCGGUAAUACGUAGGGGGCAAGCGUUAUCCGGAUUUACUGGGUGGAGAGGGCGCGUAGACGGUACUGCAAGACAGAUGUGAAAGCCCGGGGCUCAACCCCGGGACUGCAUUUGAAACUGUAGGGCUAGAGUGCCGGAGAGGCAGACGGAAUUCCUAGUGUAGCGGUGAAAUGCGUAGAUAUUAGGAGGAACACCAGUGGCGAAGGCGGUCUGCUGGACGACGACUGACGUUGAGGCGCGAAAGCGUGGGGAGCAAACAGGAUUAGAUACCCCAGUAGUC
RNAcentral lists this ribosomal RNA (440 nucleotides) under uncultured bacterium. RNAcentral describes it as "partial 16S ribosomal RNA". It matches the Rfam family "Bacterial small subunit ribosomal RNA", at positions 338 to 795 of the family's 1533-position model. The record is from RNAcentral.